ACGCUCGACACCUACUGGAGGCAGCAGUGGGGAAUAUUGCACAAUGGGGGAAACCCUGAUGCAGCGACGCCGCGUGAGCGAAGAAGUAUUUCGGUAUGUAAAGCUCUAUCAGCAGGGAAGAAGAAAGACGGUACCUGACUAAGAAGCCCCGGCUAACUACGUGGCAGCAGCCGCGGUAAUCUGAGCGGGCUGGCAAGGC
This 199-nucleotide ribosomal RNA is filed under the name uncultured bacterium. RNAcentral describes it as "partial 16S ribosomal RNA". It matches the Rfam family "Bacterial small subunit ribosomal RNA", at positions 328 to 539 of the family's 1533-position model. The record is from RNAcentral.